UACGGAGGGUGCAAGCGUUAUCCGGAUUUACUGGGUUUAAAGGGUGCGUAGGUGGGUAGGUAAGUCAGCGGUGAAAUCUCCGAGCUUAACUCGGAAACUGCCAUUGAUACUAUCUAUCUUGAAUGUCCUGGAGGUGAGCGGAAUAUGUCAUGUAGCGGUGAAAAUGCUUUAGAUAUGACAUAGAACACCAAUUGCGAAGGCAGCUCACUACGGGAUUAUUGACACUGAGGCACGAAAGCGUGGGGAUCAAACAGG
This 255-nucleotide ribosomal RNA is filed under the name uncultured bacterium. RNAcentral's name for it is "partial 16S ribosomal RNA". It matches the Rfam family "Bacterial small subunit ribosomal RNA", at positions 524 to 776 of the family's 1533-position model. The record is from RNAcentral.